UACGUAGGGUGCGAGCGUUGUCCGGAAUUAUUGGGCGUAAAGAGCUCGUAGGCGGUCUGUCGCGUCGGCUGUGAAAUCCCGGAGCUCAACUCCGGGCCUGCAGUCGAUACGGGCAGACUGGAGUUCGGCAGGGGAGACUGGAAUUCCUGGUGUAGCGGUGAAAUGCGCAGAUAUCAGGAGGAACACCGGUGGCGAAGGCGGGUCUCUGGGCCGAUACUGACGCUGAGGAGCGAAAGCGUGGGGAGCGAACAGG
RNAcentral lists this ribosomal RNA (253 nucleotides) under uncultured bacterium. RNAcentral describes it as "partial 16S ribosomal RNA". It matches the Rfam family "Bacterial small subunit ribosomal RNA", at positions 524 to 776 of the family's 1533-position model. The record is from RNAcentral.